AUAAAAGAUAUAACCUGCCCAAUGAUAAUUUUAAUGGCUGCGGUAUUUUAACUGUACAAAGGUAGCAUAAUCACUUGUUUUUUAAUUGAAUUCUGGUAUGAAGGGUUGGAUGAGAUAUAUACUUUCUUUAUUUUAAAAAAAUAAAUUUAUUUUUUGAUUAAAAAGUUAAAAUUUAUUUAUAGGACGAGAAGACCCUAUAGAAUUUUAUUUUUACACAAAUAAAAGGAAUUUGAUUAUUUAUUUAUAUAUUGUCUAAAAAUUUUGUUGGGGUGACAAAAAAAAUACUAUAACUUUUUUUCUUUUUUUCAUGAUUUAUGAUUAUUUGAUCCCUUAUUUGGAUUAUAAGAUUAAAUUACCUUAGGGAUAACAGCGUUAUUACUUUGGAGAGGUCUUAUUGAUAAAGUAGUUUGCGACCUCGAUGUUGGAUUAAAAUAAGAUUUUGGGGUAAAAAUUAAUUUUUCUAGGUCUGUUCG
This 473-nucleotide ribosomal RNA is filed under the name Halticus sp. WCW-2003. RNAcentral's name for it is "partial 16S ribosomal RNA". Lineage: Eukaryota; Metazoa; Arthropoda; Insecta; Hemiptera; Miridae. The record is from RNAcentral.